GCUGGGCAUGGUGGCGUGUGUCUGUAAUCCCAGCUACUCGGAAGGCUGAGGCAGGAGAAUUGCUUGAACCCGGGAGGUGGAGGUUGCCAUGAGCCGAGAUCAGGCCAUUGCACUCCAGCCUGGGCGACAAUAGCAAGACUCCGUCUCAAAAAAAAAAAAAAAAAAAAUACGAGACAGAGUGUUGCUCUGUUGCCCAGGCUGGAGUGCAGUGGCAUGAACAGAAGGCUCACUGCAGCCUCAACUUCCUGGGCUCAAGCAAUCCUCCUGCCUCAU
RNAcentral lists this small RNA (273 nucleotides) under Pan paniscus (pygmy chimpanzee). RNAcentral's name for it is "Metazoan signal recognition particle RNA (ENSPPAG00000010517.1)". Lineage: Eukaryota; Metazoa; Chordata; Mammalia; Primates; Hominidae. The record is from RNAcentral.